This 642-nucleotide ribosomal RNA is filed under the name Vibrio sp. Vb87. Its description in RNAcentral is "bacterial SSU rRNA". It matches the Rfam family "Bacterial small subunit ribosomal RNA", at positions 80 to 719 of the family's 1533-position model. The record is from RNAcentral. Lineage: Bacteria; Pseudomonadati; Pseudomonadota; Gammaproteobacteria; Vibrionales; Vibrionaceae.
UUAAUGGGCGUCGAGCGGCGGACGGGUGAGUAAUGCCUAGGAAAUUGCCUUGAUGUGGGGGAUAACCAUUGGAAACGAUGGCUAAUACCGCAUAAUGCCUACGGGCCAAAGAGGGGGACCUUCGGGCCUCUCGCGUCAAGAUAUGCCUAGGUGGGAUUAGCUAGUUGGUGAGGUAAUGGCUCACCAAGGCGACGAUCCCUAGCUGGUCUGAGAGGAUGAUCAGCCACACUGGAACUGAGACACGGUCCAGACUCCUACGGGAGGCAGCAGUGGGGAAUAUUGCACAAUGGGCGAAAGCCUGAUGCAGCCAUGCCGCGUGUAUGAAGAAGGCCUUCGGGUUGUAAAGUACUUUCAGUUGUGAGGAAGGGUGUGUAGUUAAUAGCUGCRYAUCUUGACGUUAGCAACAGAAGAAGCACCGGCUAACUCCGUGCCAGCAGCCGCGGUAAUACGGAGGGUGCGAGCGUUAAUCGGAAUUACUGGGCGUAAAGCGCAUGCAGGUGGUUCAUUAAGUCAGAUGUGAAAGCCCGGGGCUCAACCUCGGAACUGCAUUUGAAACUGGUGAACUAGAGUGCUGUAGAGGGGGGUAGAAUUUCAGGUGUAGCGGUGAAAUGCGUAGAGAUCUGAAGGAAUACCAGUGGCGAA